This 948-nucleotide ribosomal RNA is filed under the name Leptosphaerulina saccharicola. RNAcentral describes it as "partial large subunit ribosomal RNA". It matches the Rfam family "Eukaryotic large subunit ribosomal RNA", at positions 80 to 1048 of the family's 3401-position model. The record is from RNAcentral. Lineage: Eukaryota; Fungi; Ascomycota; Dothideomycetes; Pleosporales; Didymellaceae.
CUAGUAACGGCGAGUGAAGCGGCAACAGCUCAAAUUUGAAAUCUGGCGUCUUUGGCGUCCGAGUUGUAAUUUGCAGAGGGCGCUUUGGCAUUGGCAGCGGUCCAAGUUCCUUGGAACAGGACGUCACAGAGGGUGAGAAUCCCGUACGUGGUCGCUAGCCUUUACCGUGUAAAGCCCCUUCGACGAGUCGAGUUGUUUGGGAAUGCAGCUCUAAAUGGGAGGUAAAUUUCUUCUAAAGCUAAAUACUGGCCAGAGACCGAUAGCGCACAAGUAGAGUGAUCGAAAGAUGAAAAGCACUUUGGAAAGAGAGUUAAAAAGCACGUGAAAUUGUUGAAAGGGAAGCGCUUGCAGCCAGACUUGCCUGUAGUUGCUCAUCCGGGUUUCUACCCGGUGCACUCUUCUAUAGGCAGGCCAGCAUCAGUUUGGGCGGUUGGAUAAAGGUCUCUGUCAUGUACCUCCUUUCGGGGAGAACUUAUAGGGGAGACGACAUGCAACCAGCCUGGACUGAGGUCCGCGCAUCUGCUAGGAUGCUGGCGUAAUGGCUGUAAGCGGCCCGUCUUGAAACACGGACCAAGGAGUCUAACAUCUAUGCGAGUGUUUGGGUGUCAAGCCCGAGCGCGUAAUGAAAGUGAACGGAGGUGGGAACCUUUCGGGGUGCACCAUCGACCGAUCCUGAUGUCUUCGGAUGGAUUUGAGUAAGAGCAUAGCUGUUGGGACCCGAAAGAUGGUGAACUAUGCUUGAAUAGGGUGAAGCCAGAGGAAACUCUGGUGGAGGCUCGCAGCGGUUCUGACGUGCAAAUCGAUCGUCAAAUUUGGGCAUAGGGGCGAAAGACUAAUCGAACUAUCUAGUAGCUGGUUCCUGCCGAAGUUUCCCUCAGGAUAGCAGUAACGUUUUCAGUUUUAUGAGGUAAAGCGAAUGAUUAGAGGCAUGGGGGUUGAAACAACCUU